GCAUUGGUGGUUCAGUGGUAGAAUUCUUGCCUGCCACGCGGCAGGCCUGGGUUCAAUUCCCAGUCUAAUGCA
Rhea pennata is the source of this 72-nucleotide non-coding RNA. The record is from the annotation of a RefSeq genome assembly. Lineage: Eukaryota; Metazoa; Chordata; Aves; Rheiformes; Rheidae.